This 58-nucleotide transfer RNA is filed under the name Mesocricetus auratus (golden hamster). Lineage: Eukaryota; Metazoa; Chordata; Mammalia; Rodentia; Cricetidae. The record is from Rfam by way of RNAcentral.
UGGCUCAGUGGUUAAGAGCACUGGCUGCUCCUCCAGAGGACCUGGGUUCAAUUCCUAG